GACCUGCCCAGUGAAAUGAUUUUAACGGCCGCGGUACCUUGACCGUGCAAAGGUAGCAUAAUCAAUUGUCUUAUAAUUGAAGACUGGAAUGAAAGGUUAAACGAAAUUAAAACUGUCUCAUUUAAAUUACCUAAAAAUUGGCUUUUAAAUGAAGAGAUUUAAAUUUAGUUAGAAGACAAGAAGACCCUAUCGAGCUUUAAGUAAUUUUUGUAAUUAUAGUUAUUAUGAAGAUUGAAAUUACAAAGAUUUUUUAGUUGGGGCGACUAAGGAACAAAAAAAGCUUCUUGAAAAUAAUUAAUUUAUGUAUUAUGACCAGUUAAUUCUGACUCAAGAAAUAGUUACCGUAGGGAUAACAGCGUAAUCUCCUUAGAGAGUUCUUAUCGAAAAGGGGGGUUGCGACCUCGAGUUGGAUUAAAAUAAUCCUAAAAAUGCACAAGUUUUUGAAGUGUUAG
Molecule: ribosomal RNA, 452 nt
Filed under: Campeloma decisum
Lineage: Eukaryota; Metazoa; Mollusca; Gastropoda; Architaenioglossa; Viviparidae
Description: partial 16S ribosomal RNA
Rfam family: Bacterial large subunit ribosomal RNA
Source: RNAcentral